Molecule: unclassified non-coding RNA, 308 nt
Filed under: uncultured fungus
Lineage: Eukaryota; Fungi
Description: partial contains small subunit ribosomal RNA, internal transcribed spacer 1, and 5.8S ribosomal RNA
Rfam family: Eukaryotic small subunit ribosomal RNA (bases 1-73)
Source: RNAcentral
GCAAACUUGGUCAUUUAGAGGAAGUAAAAGUCGUAACAAGGUUUCCGUAGGUGAACCUGCGGAAGGAUCAUUAUCGAUUCAAAGGGGGAUGUUGCUGGCGAAGAAUAGCUUUUCUUUGCAUUGUGCACUCCUUCCAUCUAUCUUAACCCCUGUGCACAUUCUGUAGACUCUUUAAGGACCUUGUCCUUAAUUAAAUGAGUCUACGCAUUUUUACACACCAAUGUAUAAAUUUCUUAAUGAUUAAAUUGUAAUCCAAUACAACUUUCAACAAUGGAUCUCUUGGUUCUCGCAUCGAUGAAGAACGCAGC